Mangifera indica (mango) is the source of this 93-nucleotide small nucleolar RNA. RefSeq annotates it as small nucleolar RNA R24. The transcript has a single exon. NCBI's taxonomy places the organism in Eukaryota, Viridiplantae, Streptophyta, Magnoliopsida, Sapindales, Anacardiaceae. The record is from RefSeq and is a predicted model, not a curated record.
UGAGCUACAAUGAGAAAUUAACAUGAAAGAAAACCUACUCUUGUUGUGGAUCUUCAAUGAAAUAUAAUUUGUUAAGUUUUGCUUCUAAGCUUU